This 468-nucleotide ribosomal RNA is filed under the name uncultured bacterium. Its description in RNAcentral is "partial 16S ribosomal RNA". It matches the Rfam family "Bacterial small subunit ribosomal RNA", at positions 28 to 507 of the family's 1533-position model. The record is from RNAcentral.
GACGAACGCUGGCGGCGUGCUUAACACAUGCAAGUCGAACGGAAAGGCCCUGCUUUUGUGGGGUGCUCGAGUGGCGAACGGGUGAGUAACACGUGAGUAACCUGCCCUUGACUUUGGGAUAACUUCAGGAAACUGGGGCUAAUACCGGAUAGGAGCUCCUGCUGCAUGGUGGGGGUUGGAAAGUUUCGGCGGUUGGGGAUGGACUCGCGGCUUAUCAGCUUGUUGGUGGGGUAGUGGCUUACCAAGGCUUUGACGGGUAGCCGGCCUGAGAGGGUGACCGGACAAAUUGGGACUGAGAUACGGACGAGACUCCUACGGGAGGCAGCAGUGGGGAAUAUUGCACAAUGGGCGGAAGCCUGAUGCAGAAACGCCGCGUGCGGGAUGACGGCCUUCGGGUUGUAAAAAGCUUUCGCCUGUGACGAAGCGUGAGUGACGGUAAUGGGUAAAGAAGCACCGGCUAACUACGUG